RNAcentral lists this long non-coding RNA (1461 nucleotides) under Monodelphis domestica (gray short-tailed opossum). RNAcentral describes it as "lncRNA (ENSMODG00000036352.2)". The record is from RNAcentral. Lineage: Eukaryota; Metazoa; Chordata; Mammalia; Didelphimorphia; Didelphidae.
CAAGAUAUAAAAAGUAUGACAGGAAAUCUUGGCAAUCUAAGUUCUUGGAAAAGGUCAUGUCAGUCUUAAUAUCCCUGGCUAUGCUGAUAAGUGAAUGUAUUAAAGAGAAAGAGAGAGAGAAGGCUAUGGAGAUGGAGAGAGAGAGAGAGAGAGAGAGAGAGAGAGAGAGAGAGAGAGAGAGAGAGAGAGAGAUCCAGACUUGUUUUUUGCUUCUAUCAAUACCACUGUUUUGCUGCUCAAGCUAAAAGAAAGCCUCAUGAAAGAAUUAGUCUGACAUUCAAGGAUGAACACAGGAGGAAAAGCCCUAAUGCACCAUGAACGUUGAAUUGAUUUUGCACUGAUGUGUACUUCCAGUAUGAUGAUUGGUAUUUGUAAAAUAUAGAGUCUGUCCCCAAAUUGCUUACCUCAGUCACCUUCACAGAUCCUGGAAGUCAAAACCAGGGAAAAUGCUGAGAAGCCUAGGAAAAAGGGAAACAAAAGAAAGCAAAACAUAACAAUGACAAGAAUUACUCUGACAUCCACAGGAGGUGAGCAUUUUGCUCUCCUACACUCGGGAAAAAUGUUAUCUCAAUACAAAUAACAUAAUGCAGAGAAAGAACAUAUAUACAACAGAGAAAAUAAUGCCUCUUUCUACUGAUCCUUCAAUUACCUGGAGUGAGUCUCCAUUCUUGGGGAGUUAUCAUCAGGAAGCAUGGGAACAGUUCUAGCAAGCCAUUAUGCUGUCUUUUGUAGGAUUCUUCAAACUUUGAGUAACUUGGGAAUCUUUUGGCUUCCAGUUUCAAGAGAGAAGGUAGAAGAAUGUAACCACUUCAGGAUACUGAAGAAAAAGACUGAGAAGGAGAACAGAGGGGCCUCCAGUUCCAAUUACUUGCUUCCUGUCCUAGCAGUAAAGAUCUCCUUAGAAAAGGAUGAUUGGAGAAGAGCCCAGAGAUGCCUAUUUUUCCUUCCUUCAAAACAUACAACAACAGUUCUUACUAUAGAAGUAGGAAUUCAGCUCAAGGAGACAGAAAGCAUGGCACUUUUUAUAUUCAGAAGACCUGAGGCAAAAGCCUAUCCUGGCGCUCACCAUCUAUGUCUUCUUGGGUUAAACAACUCUAGUUCCUUCAAAAAUGGAAUGCACUACAGUUCUCUCACCACCUACAGGGCCCCAUUCAAUAUGUUUUCUAAUUCUCCAAUGUUCUUCCUAAUAUACAGGGCUUAGAAAAGCAUGCAAUAUUCUAGAUGUGGUUUGGAGGACAAAAGCAUAUGAUACUAUCAUCUCUUUUGCUCUGAAUACUUUCACCUAGCCAUGAUUUCCUCAGCCUAUAUUUUUGUAAUGGACAUGAUUGAAUGAGAGAGACUUGUGGGCAAAUUUCAACAAUAUUUCCAUUUCUUCCGCUAUAAAAUUAGGAUGACAACCAUAUAAAAUUUUCAUAGGAAAUAAGUUUAAAUAAAUCAAUCACCAAACAUUUUUGAGGAUCA